Molecule: long non-coding RNA, 1152 nt
Filed under: Toxoplasma gondii VEG
Lineage: Eukaryota; Apicomplexa; Conoidasida; Eucoccidiorida; Sarcocystidae
Source: RNAcentral
GUGUGUUCCUGUUUAGAGGGUUUGCAUCUGACCCUGGUAGAAAGAAGUCAAAGCAGCAAACGGGCUGCGUUUCCAGGACCAUGUGAAUAUACAGAUGGAGGGAUUUCUAAAGGCUGUUACUCUCCGCCGAGUCGUCCAGCUGAACACACUCCGGCUUUGUGUCUCUUCUGUUGUUUUGUAGGUACAUACCGUAGUCUCCUCCUGAGGCGGCUGAAACGCAACCUACAGAUGAGUUUCAAGUGCUCAUUCUCUCGGUCUGAAUCUGGCAAAUGCAAACAGUUUCUUCUUCAGAUUUGGUAUCUGCCGUGUUACGGUCCCCUCAGCUGCGAAAAAGCGGCGUUCCUAUUCGUACCUGCAGUUCUGCAUCGUUGUGUGCUGCUCUCUACGGUUCGUUUUCACAGUCUACGGGACGCAAUCAGGUUCUUUUAGAUUUCAUAUCUGCCAUAGUGGGCUUCAAUAAGCUAAGAAGGAAGGGAGCUUUGAUCCUGCCUUUCUGCGCCGCUGUGUAUACCACCCUUAAGCUAGGAGUGGUUUCACUCGUAUUUCCCCCGCGCAACAGGUGGCUUUCUCCGUGGGCAAUCCCCAUCCUCUCGGAGGCCCGUGAUGGUUGCGCAACUGCGAUUUUACGAAAUCUAAGUCUAGUUCUCCCAUUCCGCCUACUUUAAAGAAAGGGCUGGAAACACAUAUUGAGAAAGAUAUAAAUCUAAAAUGGGAAGACGGUCACAAAUCCUGCAAGUUACCCCAAGGGGCGACGGAGGGGGGAACUCUUUCGCGAGAGUCGAUUUCCCGCCGCCGUGUUCAGUCAGCCAGCAGCACAGCGGGUGAAACAGUGUGGAACGAGGUGAGACAAGCGCCUCGUCAGUUUGCCUAGGUCCAAAGGCCUCCGCACCCAGGACCUACGUGGAAAAAGAAGCAAAGAUCGACUCUACGCUUUGGGAAAUUGGGAUAAGAACAGCGGAGACGAAAAUGCAGCAGACUCGUUCCCGUAUAGAGUCGCCGCGUUGAAGAGACGCAGGAGUGACCGGCGGUUUUCUUCCCAUGACACUAUACCUGCAGACAGUCGAGAUUUCUUUCGGCGCGGCGAGAGAGGUCGUUAGGAAAAACACGUGUAUACCUGAGAAGCACCAAGAAAAAGCCAUACACACACCUGAG